This 441-nucleotide long non-coding RNA is filed under the name Homo sapiens (human). RNAcentral describes it as "non-protein coding lnc-NSFL1C-2:1". The record is from RNAcentral. Lineage: Eukaryota; Metazoa; Chordata; Mammalia; Primates; Hominidae.
UUUAGGAUACUGCUUGCUAUGGUUGCGGAUUUUCUAACUUGCUUUCUCUGUUUUUUUUAGAACAUUUUUGUGGGUAUGAGAAAUUGAUGAAUAUUGUUAUUCAUGUUCUCAAAGAAAAAAUAUGCUGAUUGGAUCACCUCUUCUUUCCUUCCUUCCUUCCAAUUGCACCAACUUCCCUGAUGGGCAUGGCUCCCUUCACUGUCGGGUUGGAUUCUCAUUACUGUCUUUUGGAGAUGCCUGGGAUGCACUGCAUUGUACAGACAACUGCCUUCAUCUUUGGAAUGAGUUUUAAGUUGUCUUGUAAUAGCUCUUUUGGCUUCACUGAUAGAAGGACCCAGAUAAGAAUACAGUUUUUUCGCAUUGUAUUUAUUAGUGUUCUAAAAUAUCUUUUUCUUGAAGAGUCUUAUGAUCAAGCACCCUGUAUUUUAGGAAAUUCAGCUG